AUUGAACGCUGGCGGCAUGCCUUACACACGCAAGUCGAACGGUAACAGGUCUUCGGAUGCUGACGUGUGGCGAACGGGUGAGUAAUACAUCGGAACGUGCCUAGUAGUGGGGGAUAACUACUCGAAAGAGUGGCUAAUACCGCAUGAGAUCUACGGAUGAAAGCAGGGGAUCGCAAGACCUUGUGCUACUAGAGCGGCCGAUGGCAGAUUAGGUAGUUGGUGGGAUAAAAGCUUACCAAGCCGACGAUCUGUAGCUGGUCUGAGAGGACGAUCAGCCACACUGGGACUGAGACACGGCCCAGACUCCUACGGGAGGCAGCAGUGGGGAAUUUUGGACAAUGGGCGAAAGCCUGAUCCAGCAAUGCCGCGUGCAGGAUGAAGGCCUUCGGGUUGUAAACUGCUUUUGUACGGAACGAAAAGCCCCGGGUUAAUACCCUGGGGUCAUGACGGUACCGUAAGAAUAAGCACCGGCUAACUACGUGCCAGCAGCCGCCGUAA
RNAcentral lists this ribosomal RNA (498 nucleotides) under uncultured bacterium. RNAcentral's name for it is "partial 16S ribosomal RNA". It matches the Rfam family "Bacterial small subunit ribosomal RNA", at positions 30 to 523 of the family's 1533-position model. The record is from RNAcentral.